UUUCCGUAGGUGAACCUGCGGAAGGAUCAUUCCUAAUUUCUUUCCCUAACGCUUAUACCUCCCACCCUUAUGUUUUGUUCCUUGUUUGCUUUUUUCAUCGCAAGCUCGCCAGAACAUACCAUAAUUCUUUUUAUUUAUGUCUGCUGAGUACUAUAUAAUAGUUAAAACUUUCAACAACUGAUCUCUUGGUUCUGUCGUCUUUGAAUAACUCAGCAGAUCGGAAGAGCACACGUCUACACUCCAGUCACGCAUUCUCGUCUCGGAUUCCCUCUUCUGCUU
This 279-nucleotide unclassified non-coding RNA is filed under the name plant metagenome. RNAcentral describes it as "partial contains small subunit ribosomal RNA, internal transcribed spacer 1, and 5.8S ribosomal RNA". The record is from RNAcentral.